UUGGAGGUAGUGACAAUAAAUCACAAUGCGGGACUAUCAGUCUUGCAAUUGGAUUGAGAACAAUGUACAACUCUUAUCGAUAAGCCAUUGGAGGGCAAGUCUGGUGCCAGCAGCCGCGGUAAUUCCAGCUCCAAUAGCGUAUAUUAACGUUGUUGCAGUUAAAAAGCUCGUAGUUGAAGUGUGGGUGAUCGCUGUUGUGAGACUUCGGUCUCUCGACAGUAAGUCACCCCCUUCCAGUAUCCAGUAGUGGGUAUUCAGUUACUUACUAUUGUGUGUUGGUCCUUUACUGUGAGAAAAUUAGAGUGUUCAAAGCAGGCGUUUGCUUGAAUAGAUUAGCAUGGAAUAAUAAUUGAAGGCUUUCGUGUUCGAUUUGAUUGGUUUGUUCAUGGAAGCAAGGUUAAAAGGAACAGUUGGGGGUAUUCAUAUUCACUAGUUAGAGGUGAAAUUCUCGGAUUUAUGGAAGAUGAACAAGUGCGAAAGCAA
RNAcentral lists this ribosomal RNA (483 nucleotides) under Blastocystis sp. subtype 1. RNAcentral describes it as "SSU rRNA". It matches the Rfam family "Eukaryotic small subunit ribosomal RNA", at positions 458 to 954 of the family's 1831-position model. Lineage: Eukaryota; Bigyra; Opalinata; Blastocystidae. The record is from RNAcentral.